GUUGAACGCUGGCGGCAUGCCUUACACAUGCAAGUCGAACGGUAACAGGUCUUCGGAUGCUGACGAGUGGCGAACGGGUGAGUAAUACAUCGGAACGUGCCUAGUAGUGGGGGAUAACUACUCGAAAGAGUGGCUAAUACCGCAUGAGAUCUACGGAUGAAAGCAGGGGAUCGCAAGACCUUGUGCUACUAGAGCGGCCGAUGGCAGCUUAGGUAGUUGGUGGGGGAAAAGCUUACCAAGCCGACGAUAGGCAGCUGGUCAGAGAGGACGAUCAGCCACACUGGGAGUGAGACACGGCCCAGACUCCAACGGGAGGCAGCAGUGGGGAAUUGUGGACAAUGGGCGCAAGCCUGAUCCAGCAAUGCCGCGUGCAGGAUGAAGGCCUUCGGGGUGUAAACUGCUUUUGUACGGAACGAAAAGCCCCGGGUUAAUACCCUGGGGUCAUGACGGUACCGUAAGAAUAAGCACCGGCUAACUACGUGCCAGCCGCCGCCGUAA
Molecule: ribosomal RNA, 498 nt
Filed under: uncultured bacterium
Lineage: Bacteria
Description: partial 16S ribosomal RNA
Rfam family: Bacterial small subunit ribosomal RNA
Source: RNAcentral